RNAcentral lists this ribosomal RNA (497 nucleotides) under uncultured bacterium. RNAcentral's name for it is "partial 16S ribosomal RNA". It matches the Rfam family "Bacterial small subunit ribosomal RNA", at positions 28 to 507 of the family's 1533-position model. The record is from RNAcentral.
GAUGAACGCUGGCGGCGUGCCUAAUACAUGCAAGUCGAGCGAACAGACGAGGAGCUUGCUCCUCUGACGUUAGCGGCGGACGGGUGAGUAACACGUGGAUAACCUACCUAUAAGACUGGGAUAACUUCGGGAAACAGGAGCUAAUACCGGAUAAUAUAUUGAACCGCAUGGUUCAAUAGUGAAAGACGGUUUUGCUGUCACUUAUAGAUGGAUCCGCGCCGCAUUAGCUAGUUGGUAAGGUAACGGCUUACCAAGGCAACGAUGCGUAGCCGACCUGAGAGGGUGAUCGGCCACACUGGAACUGAGACACGGUCCAGACUCCUACGGGAGGCAGCAGUAGGGAAUCUUCCGCAAUGGGCGAAAGCUUGACGGAGCAACGCCGCGUGAGUGAUGAAGGUCUUCGGAUCGUAAAACUCUGUUAUUAGGGAAGAACAAAUGUGUAAGUAACUAUGCACGUCUUGACGGUACCUAAUCAGAAAGCCACGGCUAACUACGUG